Cavia porcellus (domestic guinea pig) is the source of this 463-nucleotide long non-coding RNA. RefSeq lists it as uncharacterized. NCBI's taxonomy places the organism in Eukaryota, Metazoa, Chordata, Mammalia, Rodentia, Caviidae. The transcript is spliced from 3 exons. The record is from RefSeq and is a predicted model, not a curated record.
AACUCUCUUCAAGGGCUCUGUCCCUCAAGGUCUGGGCUCCACAGCCAGGCUACACCCCUCCCAGGCAGGCUCCGCCUGCUCUCAGGUUUCCAAGGCUAUAGAGGCAAGAGCCUGAUCAAAUGUUCCCCUGCCACCCGCGGGGACAGCCCAGCCCUGUCCUCUCCUGCAGGUUACCGGACGGGUCUGUGAGGACACUGCUUGGGGACCUGUCCUGCGGGCCACCUCUCUAGGAUGACAGACACCUGCUGGUUGUGCCCUCUUCCAGGAGUGGGUAACAGCGAGCAUGGGGCACCGCGUGGGGAUCCCAGUGGCACCCCAGGUUACGUGGUAAAUGGGACUCUUCUACCACAGUUCCUAACAUGACAUCUUGUGCCAACAUAGGCCAAAGCAGUGAGGCUGAUGGGUCAUGUAUGAAGCUUCCAUUAUCAAGAGCCAAAAUAAACCUUUCCUCUUUUUAUGUUGA